Long non-coding RNA from Oncorhynchus mykiss (rainbow trout), 3141 nucleotides. NCBI's taxonomy places the organism in Eukaryota, Metazoa, Chordata, Actinopteri, Salmoniformes, Salmonidae. The record is from Ensembl.
CUAAUCAAAUGUGACUCAUCUCCUAUAGGCCUAUUCCAUGACUCACCUCCUGUAGGUCUAUUCCAUGACUCACCUCCUAUAGGUCUAUUCCAUGGGACUGACUCACCUCCUAUAGGCCUAUUCCAUGGGACUGACUCACCUAUAGGUCUAUUCCAUGGGACUGACUCACCUCCUAUAGGUCUAUUCCAUGGGACUGACUCACCUAUAGGUCUAUUCCAUGGGACUGACUCACCUCCUGUAGGUCUAUUCCAUGGGACUGACUCACCUCCUACAGGUCUAUUCCAUGGGACUGACUCACCUCCUAUAGGUCUAUUCCAUGGGACUGACUCACCUCCUAUAGGCCUAUUCCAUGGGACUGACUCACCUCCUAUAGGUCUAUUCCAUGGGACUGACUCACCUCCUAUAGGUCUAUUCCAUGGGACUGACUCACCUAUAGGUCUAUUCCAUGGGACUGACUCACCUCCUGUAGGUAUAUUCCAUGGGACUGACUCACCUCCUAUAGGUCUAUUCCAUGGGACUGACUCACCUCCUAUAGGCCUAUUCCAUGGGACUGACUCACCUCCUAUAGGCCUAUUCCAUGGGACUGACUCACCUCCUAUAGGCCUAUUCCAUGGGACUGACUCACCUAUAGGUCUAUUCCAUGGGACUGACUCACCUCCUAUAGGUCUAUUCCAUGGGACUGACUCACCUAUAGGUCUAUUCCAUGGGACUGACUCACCUAUAGGCCUAUUCCAUGGGACUGACUCACCUAUAGGUCUAUUCCAUGGGACUGACUCACCUAUAGGUCUAUUCCAUGGGACUGACUCACCUCAUAUAGGUCUAUUCCAUGGGACUGACUCACCUAUAGGUCUAUUCCAUGGGACUGACUCACCUAUAGGCCUAUUCCAUGGGACUGACUCACCUCCUAUAGGUCUAUUCCAUGGGACUGACUCACCUAUAGGCCUAUUCAUUGGGACUGACUCACCUCCUAUAGGUCUAUUCCAUGGGACUGACUCACCUAUAGGUCUAUUCCAUGGGACUCACUCACCUCCUAUAGGCCUAUUCCAUGGGACUGACUCACCUAUAGGCCUAUUCCAUGGGAAUGACUCACCUAUAGGUCUAUUCCAUGGGACUGACUCACCUAUAGGUCUAUUCCAUUUGACUGACUCACCUAUAGGUCUAUUCCAUGGGACUGACUCACCUAUAGGUCUAUUCCAUGACUCACCUAUAGGUCUAUUCCAUGGGACUGACUCACCUAUAGGUCUAUUCCAUGACUCACCUCCUAUAGGUCUAUUCCAUGGGACUGACUCACCUAUAGGUCUAUUCCAUGGGACUGACUCACCUCCUAUAGGCCUAUUCCAUGGGACUGACUCACCUAUAGGUCUAUUCCAUGGGACUGACUCACCUCCUAUAGGUCUAUUCCAUGGGACUGACUCACCUAUAGGUCUAUUCCAUGGGACUGACUCACCUCCUGUAGGUCUAUUCCAUGGGACUGACUCACCUCCUAUAGGUCUAUUCCAUGGGACUGACUCACCUCCUAUAGGUCUAUUCCAUGGGACUGACUCACCUCCUAUAGGCCUAUUCCAUGGGACUGACUCACCUCCUAUAGGCCUAUUCCAUGGGACUGACUCACCUCCUAUAGGUCUAUUCCAUGGGACUGACUCACCUCCUAUAGGUCUAUUCCAUGGGACUGACUCACCUAUAGGUCUAUUCCAUGGGACUGACUCACCUCCUGUAGGUAUAUUCCAUGGGACUGACUCACCUCCUAUAGGUCUAUUCCAUGGGACUGACUCACCUCCUAUAGGCCUAUUCCAUGGGACUGACUCACCUCCUAUAGGCCUAUUCCAUGGGACUGACUCACCUCCUAUAGGCCUAUUCCAUGGGACUGACUCACCUAUAGGUCUAUUCCAUGGGACUGACUCACCUCCUAUAGGUCUAUUCCAUGGGACUGACUCACCUAUAGGUCUAUUCCAUGGGACUGACUCACCUAUAGGCCUAUUCCAUGGGACUGACUCACCUAUAGGUCUAUUCCAUGGGACUGACUCACCUAUAGGUCUAUUCCAUGGGACUGACUCACCUCAUAUAGGUCUAUUCCAUGGGACUGACUCACCUAUAGGUCUAUUCCAUGGGACUGACUCACCUAUAGGCCUAUUCCAUGGGACUGACUCACCUCCUAUAGGUCUAUUCCAUGGGACUGACUCACCUAUAGGCCUAUUCAUUGGGACUGACUCACCUCCUAUAGGUCUAUUCCAUGGGACUGACUCACCUAUAGGUCUAUUCCAUGGGACUCACUCACCUCCUAUAGGCCUAUUCCAUGGGACUGACUCACCUAUAGGCCUAUUCCAUGGGAAUGACUCACCUAUAGGUCUAUUCCAUGGGACUGACUCACCUAUAGGUCUAUUCCAUUUGACUGACUCACCUAUAGGUCUAUUCCAUGGGACUGACUCACCUAUAGGUCUAUUCCAUGACUCACCUAUAGGUCUAUUCCAUGGGACUGACUCACCUAUAGGUCUAUUCCAUGACUCACCUCCUAUAGGUCUAUUCCAUGGGACUGACUCACCUAUAGGUCUAUUCCAUGGGACUGACUCACCUAUAGGCCUAUUCCAUGACUCACCUCCUGUAGGUCUAUUCCAUGACUCAACUCCUGUAGGUCUAUUCCAUGACUCAACUCCUGUAGGUCUAUUCCAUGACUCACCUCCUGUAGGUCUAUUCCAUGACUCACCUCCUGUAGGUCUAUUCCAUGACUCACCUCCUGUAGGUCUAUUCCAUGACUCACCUCCUGUGGGUCUAUUCCAUGACUCACCUCCUGUAGGUCUAUUCCAUGACUCACCUCCUGUAGGUCUAUUCCAUAACUCACCUCCUGUAGGUCUAUUCCAUGACUCACCUCCUGUAGGUCUAUUCCAUGACUCACCUCCUGUAGGUCUAUUCCAUGACUCACCUCCUGUAGGUCUAUUCCAUGACUCACCUCCUGUAGGUCUAUUCCAUGACUCACCUCCUGUAGGUCUAUUCCAUGACUCACCUCCUGUAGGUCUAUUCCAUGACUCACCUCCUGUAGGUCUAUUCCAUGACUCACCUCCUGUAGGUCUAUUCCAUGACUCACCUCCUGUAGGUUUAUUCCAUGACUCACCUCCUGUAGGUCUAUUCCAUGGGACUGUAUGGUGA